Molecule: ribosomal RNA, 497 nt
Filed under: uncultured bacterium
Lineage: Bacteria
Description: partial 16S ribosomal RNA
Rfam family: Bacterial small subunit ribosomal RNA
Source: RNAcentral
GAUGAACGCUGGCGGCGUGCUUAACACAUGCAAGUCGAACGAAGCGCUUUUAUUUGAUUUCUUCGGAAUGAAGAUUUUAGUGACUGAGUGGCGGACGGGUGAGUAACACGUGGGUAACCUGCCUCAUACAGGGGGAUAACAGUUAGAAAUGACUGCUAAUACCGCAUAAGACCACAGUACCGCAUGGUACAGGGGUAAAAACUCCGGUGGUAUGAGAUGGACCCGCGUCUGAUUAGGUAGUUGGUGGGGUAACGGCCUACCACGCCGACGAUCAGUAGCCGGCCUGAGAGGGUGACCGGCCACAUUGGGACUGAGACACGGCCCAAACUCCUACGGGAGGCAGCAGUGGGGAAUAUUGCACAAUGGGGGAAACCCUGAUGCAGCGACGCCGCGUGAGCGAUGAAGUAUUUCGGUAUGUAAGGCUCUAUCAGCAGGGAAGAAAAUGACGGUACCUGACUAAGAAGCACCGGCUAAAUACGUGCCAGCCGCCGCCGUAA